This 119-nucleotide ribosomal RNA is filed under the name Gossypium arboreum. The record is from RNAcentral. Lineage: Eukaryota; Viridiplantae; Streptophyta; Magnoliopsida; Malvales; Malvaceae.
GGGUGCUAUCAAACUAGCAUUAAUGCACCCGAUCCCAUCAGAACUCCGCGGUUAAGCGUGCUUGGGCGAGAGUAGUACUAGGAUUGGUGACCUUUUGGGAAGUCCUCGUGUUGCAUCCC